This 496-nucleotide ribosomal RNA is filed under the name uncultured bacterium. RNAcentral describes it as "partial 16S ribosomal RNA". It matches the Rfam family "Bacterial small subunit ribosomal RNA", at positions 30 to 523 of the family's 1533-position model. The record is from RNAcentral.
AUUGAACGCUGGCGGAAUGCUUUACACAUGCAAGUCGAACGGUAGAGGGGGCAACCCCUCGAGAGUGGCGAACGGGUGAGUAAUAUAUCGGAACGUGCCCAGUCGUGGGGGAUAACGUAGCGAAAGUUACGCUAAUACCGCAUACGAACUAAGGAUGAAAGCGGGGGAUCGCAAGACCUCGCGCGAUUGGAGCGGCCGAUAUCAGAUUAGGUAGUUGGUGGGGUAAAGGCUCACCAAGCCAACGAUCUGUAGCUGGUCUGAGAGGACGACCAGCCACACUGGAACUGAGACACGGUCCAGACUCCUACGGGAGGCAGCAGUGGGGAAUUUUGGACAAUGGACGCAAGUCUGAUCCAGCCAUUCCGCGUGCAGGAUGAAGGCCCUCGGGUUGUAAGCUGCUUUUGUACGGAACGAAAAGGUCUCUCUUAAUACGGGGGGCUCAUGACGGUACCGUAAGAAUAAGCACCGGCUAACUACGUGCCAGCCGCCGCGGUAA